Molecule: unclassified non-coding RNA, 88 nt
Filed under: Pseudomonas extremorientalis
Lineage: Bacteria; Pseudomonadati; Pseudomonadota; Gammaproteobacteria; Pseudomonadales; Pseudomonadaceae
Source: RNAcentral
GUGGGAGGGGGCUUGCCCCCGAUGGCGGUGUGUCAGUCACCAAAUACUUGGACUGAUCCACAGCUAUCGGGGGCAAGCCCCCUCCCAC